CAUUAUCCAAGUACCAGUGAUCUGUAGAAUUCAAGUCUCCCUUCUUGUCAUCAUGAAAGUCAGGACACACCUUCUCGUUGAAUAAAAUAACCUUCUGUUCAUCGUUGUCAAGACAACGCUCCUCGGUGUCAUGACAACGCCCCCCGGUGUCAAAACAGCACGCGCUUGCUACUGCUAUCAACAGCGCAGGUUCAUGGUCUGCAAAAUUGGCUUCCUCUUUCUCCUUCUUCUUCUUGGGAGCUUUGCACCGAUUUGCAUAGUGACC
RNAcentral lists this long non-coding RNA (265 nucleotides) under Nicotiana benthamiana. Its description in RNAcentral is "long non-coding RNA (NBEN_LNC014482)". Lineage: Eukaryota; Viridiplantae; Streptophyta; Magnoliopsida; Solanales; Solanaceae. The record is from RNAcentral.